CUACGGGUCGCUGCAGUUAGGUAUAAUCUACAAUGCGCGCAAGCGUGAUAGUUUGAGCCAGAGUGUUUUUCAUUGAAAGACUUUUAUGGAAUGUAAAAAGUUCCACGAAUAAGGACUGGGUAAGACUAGUGCCAGCCGCCGCGGUAAUACUAGCGGUCCAAGUCGCAGCCAUUUUUAUUGGGUCUAAAACAUCCGUAGCUUGCUUGAUAAAUCUUCUGUGAAAUUUUAUAUCUCAAAUAUGAAGCGUGCAGAAGGUACUGUCAAGCUAGAGACUGGUAGACGUAAAGAGUAUGUUCAGAGUAGCGGUAAAAUGUGUUAAUCCUGGACAGACUAACAAGAGCGAAGGCACUUUACGAGAACAGUUCUGACAGUAAGGGAUGAAGGCUAGGGGCGCAAAACGGAUUAGAUACCCCGGUAGUC
This 420-nucleotide ribosomal RNA is filed under the name uncultured archaeon. RNAcentral describes it as "partial 16S ribosomal RNA". It matches the Rfam family "Archaeal small subunit ribosomal RNA", at positions 323 to 746 of the family's 1478-position model. The record is from RNAcentral.